AGUGAACGCUGGCGGUAGGCCUAACACAUGCAAGUCGAACGGCAGCACAGUAAGAGCUUGCUCUUACGGGUGGCGAGUGGCGGACGGGUGAGGAAUACAUCGGAAUCUACUUUUUCGUGGGGGAUAACGUAGGGAAACUUACGCUAAUACCGCAUACGACCUACGGGUGAAAGCAGGGGAUCUUCGGACCUUGCGCGAUUGAUUGAGCCGAUGUCGGAUUGGCUAGUUGGCGGGGUAAAGGCCCACCAAGGCGACGAUCCGUAGCUGGUCUGAGAGGAUGAUCGGCCACACUGGAACUGAGACACGGUCCAGACUCCUACGGGAGGCAGCAGUGGGGAAUAUUGGACAAUGGGCGAAAGCCUGAUGCAGCCAUACCGCGUGGGUGAAGAAGGCCUUCGGGUUGUAAAGCCCUUUUGUUGGGAAAGAAAAGCAGCAGGUUAAUACCCCGCUGUUCUGACGGUACCCAAAGAAUAAGCACCGGCUAACUUCGUG
Molecule: ribosomal RNA, 492 nt
Filed under: uncultured bacterium
Lineage: Bacteria
Description: partial 16S ribosomal RNA
Rfam family: Bacterial small subunit ribosomal RNA
Source: RNAcentral